AGUGAACGCUGGCGGCAGGCCUAACACAUGCAAGUCGAGCGGCAGCGGGUCCUUCGGGAUGCCGGCGAGCGGCGGACGGGUGAGGAAUACAUCGGAAUCUGCCCUGUCGUGGGGGAUAACCUAGGGAAACUUAGGCUAAUACCGCAUACGACCUACGGGUGAAAGCGGGGGAUCGCAAGACCUCGCGCGACAGGAUGAGCCGAUGUCCGAUUAGCUAGUUGGCGGGGUAAAGGCCCACCAAGGCGACGAUCGGUAGCUGGUCUGAGAGGAUGAUCAGCCACACUGGGAGUGGGACACGGACCAGACUCCUGCGGGACGCAGCAGUGGGGAAUGUGGGACAAUGGGGGGGAGCAUGAUCCAGCCGUGCCGCGUGGGAGAAAACGGCCUUGGGGUUGUGAAGCCCUUUUGACCGGGAAGAAAUGGUCUGGGCUAAUACCCCGGGCGGAUGACGGUACCGGAAAAAUAAGCACCGGCUAACUUCGUG
This 484-nucleotide ribosomal RNA is filed under the name uncultured bacterium. Its description in RNAcentral is "partial 16S ribosomal RNA". It matches the Rfam family "Bacterial small subunit ribosomal RNA", at positions 30 to 507 of the family's 1533-position model. The record is from RNAcentral.